GCUGGCAGGAUCUGGAGUUGUCUCCCGGGGCGCCUCUGCAGAUCUCUCUCAGGACUCGGCCCGACUCAGCCCGGUCCGGUCCGGUUUGAUCUGGUCUAAUGAGCGAGGAUUUGCUCUGGGACUUUUAUUUUGGCAUACAUCCAGUUACCUCAAGUAAGAAAAAUCUCUGUGAAGGAUACUCACAAAUUUAAGAAGUGCAACAUGACAAGAGGCUGCCUGUGUUGUUUGAAAUAUAUGAUGUUCCUUUUCAAUUUGCUAUUUUGGUCUUGAAACCCCAAGAUGUGGGGUGCAAUCAUCAUCCCUGGGGGAUCGGAUACCACCCAGAGAGACCUAGACUGGCUUGGGCAGUGGGCCCAGUGCUGAGGACAGUGCAUGCAGGACCGUGAACCUUUAGGUGUGGGUGAGAGGAGCAGAUUCUGUCCCACAGUGGAACAAGUCCAAGACCUCCUCAUGAAACUGAAUAUAUGUAAGUCCAUGGGGCCAGAUGGUAUGCAUCCCAGGGUUCUGAGUGAAAUGGCUGAUGUGGUUGCUGAGCCACUCUCCAUCAUAUUUGAAAAACCAUGGCUGUUGAGUGAAAUCCCUGGUGACUGGAAAAAGAGAAACAUUACUCCCAUUUUUAAGAAAGGGAGAAAGGAUUACCUGGGCUACAGGCCAGUGAGCCUCGCCUCUGUGCCUAGAGAGGCCAUGGAGCAGAUCCUCCUCGUUACCAUGUUAAGGCACAUACAAGAUGAAGAGGUGUUCUGAGAGAGCCAGCAUGGCUUUACCAAGGGCCUUGGUACCAGGGUUUGCCUGACCGAUCUGGUGGCCUUCUAUGAUGGAGUGAUGGCUUCGGUGGACGGGGGAAGGGCCAUGGAUGUCAUCUACCUGAACUUCUGCAAAGCCUUUGACAUGGUCCCUCACCUUAUCCUUCUCUCUAAAUUGGAGAGAUAUGGAUUUGAAGGAUGGACUGUUCAGUGGAUUAGGAAUUGGCUGG
This is an RNA transcript of Gallus gallus (chicken), 973 nucleotides long. It is a transcript of the gene named tetraspanin 9, with no coding region annotated. The transcript is spliced from 5 exons. The record is from RefSeq and is a predicted model, not a curated record. Lineage: Eukaryota; Metazoa; Chordata; Aves; Galliformes; Phasianidae.